RNAcentral lists this unclassified non-coding RNA (383 nucleotides) under uncultured bacterium. RNAcentral's name for it is "contains 16S-23S intergenic spacer region". The record is from RNAcentral.
UCCUACAUAUCAUAGGCAGUUUUUUUAAAUAACUCUAUAGCUAUAUUAAAAAUAAGGGUUACGCUCGUUAUAGGAAUUAACCAAACAUUUCACAACACGAGCUGACGACAACCAUGCAGCACUUGUUUAGGAUUUUUUUAUUAAUUAUACACCUAAAUAUAAUCAAAUCAAUUAAAUGACUAAUCCUACAUCAAGAACUGGUAAGGUUUUGCGCGUUAUAUCGAAUUAAACCACAUGCUCCACCGCUUGUGCAAACCUCCGUCAAUUUCUUUGAAUUUCAGUCUUGCGACCGUACUACUCAGGCGGAGUGUUUAACGCGUUAACUUGAACACUGAAAUUUUUAAUUCCAAUAUUGAACACUCAUCGUUUAGGGCAUGGACUAC